UGUUGGUUAGCGGCGGACGGGUGAGUAACACGUGGGCAACCUGCCUGUAAGACUGGGAUAACUUCGGGAAACCGGAGCUAAUACCGGAUAAUUCCUUCCCUCUCAUGAGGGAAGGCUGAAAGACGGCUUAAGCUGUCACUUACAGAUGGGCCCGCGGCGCAUUAGCUAGUUGGUGAGGUAACGGCUCACCAAGGCGACGAUGCGUAGCCGACCUGAGAGGGUGAUCGGCCACACUGGGACUGAGACACGGCCCAGACUCCUACGGGAGGCAGCAGUAGGGAAUCUUCCGCAAUGGACGAAAGUCUGACGGAGCAACGCCGCGUGAGCGAUGAAGGCCUUCGGGUCGUAAAGCUCUGUUGUUAGGGAAGAACAAGUACCGGAGUAACUGCCGGUACCUUGACGGUACCUAACCAGAAAGCCACGGCUAACUACGUGCCAGCAGCCGCGGUAAUACGUAGGUGGCAAGCGUUGUCCGGAAUUAUUGGGCGUAAAGCGCGCGCAGGCGGUCCUUUAAGUCUGAUGUGAAAGCCCACGGCUCAACCGUGGAGGGUCAUUGGAAACUGGGGGACUUGAGUGCAGAAGAGGAAAGCGGAAUUCCACGUGUAGCGGUGAAAUGCGUAGAGAUGUGGAGGAACACCAGUGGCGAAGGCGGCUUUCUGGUCUGUAACUGACGCUGAGGCGCGAAAGCGUGGGGAGCAAACAGGAUUAGAUACCCU
Molecule: ribosomal RNA, 716 nt
Filed under: Bacillus sp. (in: firmicutes)
Lineage: Bacteria; Bacillati; Bacillota; Bacilli; Caryophanales; Bacillaceae
Description: bacterial SSU rRNA
Rfam family: Bacterial small subunit ribosomal RNA
Source: RNAcentral